GGACGAACGCUGGCGGCGUGCUUAACACAUGCAAGUGGAGCGACGAACCGGGGCUUGCCCCGGGGCAGAGCCGCGAACGGGUGAGUAACACGUGGGUAACCCACCCCGAUGAUUGGGACAACCCGGGGAAACUCGGGCUAAUACCAAAUGUGCUCGUAGACCAUGAGGUCCAUGAGUAAAGAUAGCUUCGGCCUUCGCAUCGGGACGGGCCCGCGGCCCAUUAGCUUGUUGGUGAGGUAACGGCUCACCAAGGCGACGAUGGGUAGCUGGUCUGAGAGGACGAUCAGCACACUGGGACUGAGACACGGCCCAGACUCCUACGGGAGGGCAGCAGUGGGGAAUCUUGCGCAAUGCG
This 355-nucleotide ribosomal RNA is filed under the name uncultured bacterium. RNAcentral describes it as "bacterial SSU rRNA". It matches the Rfam family "Bacterial small subunit ribosomal RNA", at positions 27 to 375 of the family's 1533-position model. The record is from RNAcentral.